Molecule: long non-coding RNA, 339 nt
Organism: Mauremys reevesii (Reeves's turtle)
Lineage: Eukaryota; Metazoa; Chordata; Testudines; Geoemydidae
Exons: 3
Source: RefSeq, a predicted model, not a curated record
GCCAGAGUGUCUCCGGCCACGCUGCUCUCCCCGCAGCCUCCAAAGCAGCUGCAGCUCCGGGGUUGGCAGGCUGCGGCCGUGCCACCUGGGGCAGCUGUGGCCAGGCCAGAGACAUCCUCCCCUGGCCCACCCCAGGUGUGUACCAGAUAUCACCCUUGUACAAACUUGGUUCAAUUCCACCCAGGACCUGAAGAGAGAAAAUCACUGACAGAUACCCACAAGACUACCUCCGUUGGUACCACUUCCAGGAACAGGCAUUCCAGCACCACACAUUUGCAGGGAGAAAACGUUGGGAAUCUUUGCUUGACUCACAAGGGAAUCAAAGAAUGUCUCCACCGA